Molecule: ribosomal RNA, 361 nt
Filed under: uncultured bacterium
Lineage: Bacteria
Description: bacterial SSU rRNA
Rfam family: Bacterial small subunit ribosomal RNA
Source: RNAcentral
UACCAGACUCCUACGGGAGGCAGCAGUGAGGAAUAUUGGUCAAUGGCCGAGAGGCUGAACCAGCCAAGCCGCGUGAGGGAUGAAGGUACAGAGUAUCGUAAACCUCUUUUGUCAGGGAACAAAGGCGGGGACGUGUCCCCGGAUGAGUGUACCUGAAGAAAAAGCAUCGGCUAACUCCGUGCCAGCAGCCGCGGUAAUACGGAGGAUGCGAGCGUUAUCCGGAUUUAUUGGGUUUAAAGGGUGCGCAGGCGGGUUGUCAAGCCAGGGGGAAAACCGGGGGCCCCACCCCCGCCCGCCGUUGAAACUGGCAGUCUCGGGUUGGAGAGAAGUAUGCGGAAUGCGCGGGGUAGCGGUGAAAUGC